This 462-nucleotide ribosomal RNA is filed under the name Oleiphilus sp. HI0128. Its description in RNAcentral is "bacterial SSU rRNA". It matches the Rfam family "Bacterial small subunit ribosomal RNA", at positions 1077 to 1533 of the family's 1533-position model. Lineage: Bacteria; Pseudomonadati; Pseudomonadota; Gammaproteobacteria; Oceanospirillales; Oleiphilaceae. The record is from RNAcentral.
GGGUUAAGUCCCGUAACGAGCGCAACCCUUAUCCUUAUUUGCCAGCACUUCGGGUGGGAACUCUAAGGAGACUGCCGGUGACAAACCGGAGGAAGGUGGGGACGACGUCAAGUCAUCAUGGCCCUUACGACCAGGGCUACACACGUGCUACAAUGGUAAAUACAAAGGGACGCCAAGCCGCGAGGUGGAGCUAAUCCCAGAAAAUUUAUCGUAGUCCGGAUUGGAGUCUGCAACUCGACUCCAUGAAGUCGGAAUCGCUAGUAAUCGUGGAUCAGAAUGCCACGGUGAAUACGUUCCCGGGCCUUGUACACACCGCCCGUCACACCAUGGGAGUGGAUUGCACCAGAAGUAGUUAGUCUAACCUUCGGGGGGACGAUUACCACGGUGUGGUUCAUGACUGGGGUGAAGUCGUAACAAGGUAGCCCUAGGGGAACCUGGGGCUGGAUCACCUCCUUAAACGAA